Small nucleolar RNA from Dipodomys ordii (Ord's kangaroo rat), 134 nucleotides. NCBI's taxonomy places the organism in Eukaryota, Metazoa, Chordata, Mammalia, Rodentia, Heteromyidae. The record is from Ensembl.
GGUGAGGUCUAUCCCGAUGGAGUAUCUGUAUCUAUGGCAACACAUCGUUGGAAACACCUCACAGAAUAAAUAUGUGGUGCGCUUUACUCACAGGACUAUUCUCUAUGUCUGUGGGAAGUAACUGCAAGACACAG